Molecule: ribosomal RNA, 208 nt
Filed under: uncultured Gammaproteobacteria bacterium
Lineage: Bacteria; Pseudomonadati; Pseudomonadota; Gammaproteobacteria
Description: partial 16S ribosomal RNA
Rfam family: Bacterial small subunit ribosomal RNA
Source: RNAcentral
GGGCCCCGCGCCCGGCCCGCCGCGGCCGCCCCCCUACGGGAGGCAGCAGUGCCGAAUAUUGGACAAUGGGCGAAAGCCUGAUCCAGCCAUGCCGCGUGUGUGAAGAAGGUCUUCGGAUUGUUUAGCACUUUAAGUUGGGAGGUUGGGCUGUAGAUUAAUACUUUGCAGUUUUGACGUUACCGACAGAAUAAGCUCCGGCUAACUUCGG